This is a long non-coding RNA of Octopus bimaculoides (California two-spot octopus), 340 nucleotides long. RefSeq lists it as uncharacterized. The record is from RefSeq and is a predicted model, not a curated record. NCBI's taxonomy places the organism in Eukaryota, Metazoa, Mollusca, Cephalopoda, Octopoda, Octopodidae.
GUGUGACCCUAUCAGAUUAUUCAGCCUAUUCAGAUUAUUGCUUUAAAACGGCCCAGGAAGUUUGCAAUUAUAAACAAAAUCCUGAGGAAGAAACUCAUGAAGAUAUGUGUCUGCACUACGUUUAUUGGACGAAAUGUUUGAAGGGUUUAAAUAUGCAAUGUUCUAAACACUUCGACGCCAAAUUUGAUUCGCAUUGCAACAUAAAAAACUACGUGAUGCACAGCCCCAGAAAAUAAUAUCACAAAGGACGCUUCCUAGAACUUAUUCCAAAGUGAAGCCCUGACAUCACUGAUUAUUUAAAUAUAACUUCUACAAAUAAAGAUGUAUGCUACCACCACAA